This 496-nucleotide ribosomal RNA is filed under the name uncultured bacterium. RNAcentral's name for it is "bacterial SSU rRNA". It matches the Rfam family "Bacterial small subunit ribosomal RNA", at positions 34 to 518 of the family's 1533-position model. The record is from RNAcentral.
CGCUAGCUACAGGCUUAACACAUGCAAGUCGAGGGGCAGCAUCGUUGGUUGCUUAGCAACCAAUGAUGGCGACCGGCGCACGGGUGAGUAACGCGUAUCCAACCUUCCCCUAGUAGGGCAUAGCCCGGCGAAAGUCGGAUUAAUACCCUAUGUUCUUCGUAGAUGACAUCUGAAAUGAAGCAAAGGUUUACCGCUAAGGGAUGGGGAUGCGUCUGAUUAGGCAGUCGGCGGGUAACGGCCCACCGAGCCGACGAUCAGUAGGGGUUCUGAGAGGAAGGUCCCCCACAUUGGAACUGAGACACGGUCCAAACUCCUACGGGAGGCAGCAGUGAGGAAUAUUGGUCAAUGGGCGCGAGCCUGAACCAGCCAAGUAGCCGUGCAGGAAGACGGCCCUAUGGGUUGUAAACUGCUUUUAUGCGGGGAUAAAGUCGCCCACGUGUGGGUGUUUGUAGGUACCGCAUGAAUAAGGACCGGCUAAUUCCGUGCCAGCCGCCGC